Molecule: ribosomal RNA, 253 nt
Filed under: uncultured bacterium
Lineage: Bacteria
Description: partial 16S ribosomal RNA
Rfam family: Bacterial small subunit ribosomal RNA
Source: RNAcentral
UACGUAGGGGGCAAGCGUUAUCCGGAUUUACUGGGUGUAAGGGGAGCGCAGACGGCAGUGCAAGUCUGGAGUGAAAGCCCGGGGCCCAACCCCGGGACUGCUCUGGAAACUGUACGGCUAGAGUACGGGAGGGGCAGGCGGAAUUCCUAGUGUAGCGGUGAAAUGCGUAGAUAUUAGGAGGAACACCGGCGGCGAAGGCGGCCUGCUGGACCGAAACUGACGUUGAGGCUCGAAAGCGUGGGGAGCAAACAGG